UGUAUGUAUGUAUGUAUGUAUGUAUAUGUAUGUAUGUAUGUAUAUAUCUGUAUGUAUGUAUGUAUGUAUGUAUCUAUAUACAUGUAUGCAUGUAUGUAUGUAUGUAUAUGUAUGUAUGUAUGUAUAUAUCUGUAUGUAUGUAUGUAUGUAUGUAUGUAUAUAUAUGUAUGUAUAUAUAGAGUCCGGCUACUAUAUUCUUAUGAGUACGAUCGUUCUCGUACUCAUAAGUUGUUUUCGAUGAUAGAACUUGCGAAUCGACGAUCCACACUGGUAAACGUUAUCUAGAGCAUUUAAAACGUCUAGAAAUCAAAAUUUAUAAUUUUUCGACAUCAUUUACCUUACGAUCAAAAGGUCACAAAUUUAAUAAUUUUUAACGGCCGGUAUGGGAUAUUUGUUAGUUUAACGGUGUAAAAGAAUCGAAAUCAGUUGAAUUUUUAAUAGAAAAUUCUAUUCACUAUAUA
This 461-nucleotide long non-coding RNA is filed under the name Ananas comosus (pineapple). RNAcentral's name for it is "long non-coding RNA (ACOM_LNC041115)". The record is from RNAcentral. Lineage: Eukaryota; Viridiplantae; Streptophyta; Magnoliopsida; Poales; Bromeliaceae.